UCGGGAAUUUUGGGCAAUGGGCGAAAGCCUGACCCAGCAACGCCGCGUGAGGGAUGAAGUAUUUCGGUAUGUAAACCUCGAAAGAAUGGGAAGAAUAAAUGACGGUACCAUUUAUAAGCUCCGGCUAACUACGUGCCAGCAGCCGCGGUAAUACGUAGGGAGCAAGCGUUGUUCGGAUUUACUGGGCGUAAAGGGCGCGUAGGCGGCGCGGUAAGUCACUUGUGAAAUCUCUGAGCUUAACUCAGAACGGCCAAGUGAUACUGCUGUGCUAGAGUGCGGAAGAGGCAACCGGAAUUCUUGGUGUAGCGGUGAAAUGCGUAGAUAUCAAGAGGAACACCUGAGGCGAAGGCGGGUUGCUGGGCCGACACUGACGCUGAUGGGCGAAAGCCAGGGGAGCAAACG
RNAcentral lists this ribosomal RNA (402 nucleotides) under uncultured bacterium. RNAcentral's name for it is "bacterial SSU rRNA". It matches the Rfam family "Bacterial small subunit ribosomal RNA", at positions 355 to 774 of the family's 1533-position model. The record is from RNAcentral.